UUAAGCGACUAAGCGUACACGGUGGAUGCCCUGGCAGUCAGAGGCGAUGAAGGACGUGCUAAUCUGCGAAAAGCGUCGGUAAGGUGAUAUGAACCGUUAUAACCGGCGAUGUCCGAAUGGGGAAACCCAGUGCAAUUCGUUGCACUAUCGUUAACUGAAUACAUAGGUUAACGAGGCGAACCGGGGGAACUGAAACAUCUAAGUACCCCGAGGAAAAGAAAUCAACCGAGAUUCCCCCAGUAGCGGCGAGCGAACGGGGAGCAGCCCAGAGUCUGAAUCAGCUUGUGUGUUAGUGGAACGGUCUGGAAAGUCCGACGGUACAGGGUGAUAGUCCCGUACACCAAAAUGCACAGGCUGUGAACUCGAAGAGUAGGGCGGGACACGUGGUAUCCUGUCUGAAUAUGGGGGGACCAUCCUCCAAGGCUAAAUACUCCUGACUGACCGAUAGUGAACCAGUACCGUGAGGGAAAGGCGAAAAGAACCCCGGCGAGGGGAGUGAAAAAGAACCUGAAACCGUGUACGUACAAGCAGUGGGAGCACCUUCGGGUGUGACUGCGUACCUUUUGUAUAAUGGGUCAGCGACUUAUAUUCUGUAGCAAGGUUAACCGUAUAGGGGAGCCGCAGGGAAACCGAGUCUUAACUGGGCGUUAAGUUGCAGGGUAUAGACCCGAAACCCGGUGAUCUAGCCAUGGGCAGGUUGAAGGUUGGGUAACACUAACUGGAGGACCGAACCGACUAAUGUUGAAAAAUUAGCGGAUGACUUGUGGCUGGGGGUGAAAGGCCAAUCAAACCGGGAGAUAGCUGGUUCUCCCCGAAAGCUAUUUAGGUAGCGCCUCGUGAAUUCAUCUUCGGGGGUAGAGCACUGUUUCGGCUAGGGGGUCAUCCCGACUUACCAACCCGAUGCAAACUACGAAUACCGAAGAAUGUUAUCACGGGAGACACACGGCGGGUGCUAACGUCCGUCGUGAAGAGGGAAACAACCCAGACCGCCAGCUAAGGUCCCAAAGUCAUGGUUAAGUGGGAAACGAUGUGGGAAGGCACAGACAGCCAGGAUGUUGGCUUAGAAGCAGCCAUCAUUUAAAGAAAGCGUAAUAGCUCACUGGUCGAGUCGGCCUGCGCGGAAGAUGUAACGGGGCUAAACCAUGCACCGAAGCUGCGGCAGCGACACUAUGUGUUGUUGGGUAGGGGAGCGUUCUGUAAGCCUGCGAAGGUGACCUGUGAGGGUUGCUGGAGGUAUCAGAAGUGCGAAUGCUGACAUAAGUAACGAUAAAGCGGGUGAAAAGCCCGCUCGCCGGAAGACCAAGGGUUCCUGUCCAACGUUAAUCGGGGCAGGGUGAGUCGACCCCUAAGGCGAGGCCGAAAGGCGUAGUCGAUGGGAAACAGGUUAAUAUUCCUGUACUUGGUGUUACUGCGAAGGGGGGACGGAGAAGGCUAUGUUAGCCGGGCGACGGUUGUCCCGGUUUAAGCAUGUAGGCUGAUUGUCCAGGCAAAUCCGGAUAAUCAAGGCUGAGGUGUGAUGACGAGGCACUACGGUGCUGAAGUAACAAAUGCCCUGCUUCCAGGAAAAGCCUCUAAGCAUCAGGUAACAUUAAAUCGUACCCCAAACCGACACAGGUGGUCAGGUAGAGAAUACCAAGGCGCUUGAGAGAACUCGGGUGAAGGAACUAGGCAAAAUGGUGCCGUAACUUCGGGAGAAGGCACGCUGGUGUGUAGGUGAAGUCCCUGCGGAUGGAGCUGAGACCAGUCGAAGAUACCAGCUGGCUGCAACUGUUUAUUAAAAACACAGCACUGUGCAAACACGAAAGUGGACGUAUACGGUGUGACGCCUGCCCGGUGCCGGAAGGUUAAUUGAUGGGGUUAUCCGUAAGGAGAAGCUCUUGAUCGAAGCCCCGGUAAACGGCGGCCGUAACUAUAACGGUCCUAAGGUAGCGAAAUUCCUUGUCGGGUAAGUUCCGACCUGCACGAAUGGCGUAAUGAUGGCCAGGCUGUCUCCACCCGAGACUCAGUGAAAUUGAACUCGCUGUGAAGAUGCAGUGUACCCGCGGCAAGACGGAAAGACCCCGUGAACCUUUACUAUAGCUUGACACUGAACAUUGAGCCUUGAUGUGUAGGAUAGGUGGGAGGCUUUGAAGCGUGGACGCCAGUCUGCGUGGAGCCAACCUUGAAAUACCACCCUUUAAUGUUUGAUGUUCUAACGUUGGCCCCUGACCGGGGUUGCGGACAGUGUCUGGUGGGUAGUUUGACUGGGGCGGUCUCCUCCCAAAGCGUAACGGAGGAGCACGAAGGUUAGCUAAUCCUGGUCGGACAUCAGGAGGUUAGUGCAAUGGCAUAAGCUAGCUUGACUGCGAGCGUGACGGCGCGAGCAGGUGCGAAAGCAGGUCAUAGUGAUCCGGUGGUUCUGAAUGGAAGGGCCAUCGCUCAACGGAUAAAAGGUACUCCGGGGAUAACAGGCUGAUACCGCCCAAGAGUUCAUAUCGACGGCGGUGUUUGGCACCUCGAUGUCGGCUCAUCACAUCCUGGGGCUGAAGUAGGUCCCAAGGGUAUGGCUGUUCGCCAUUUAAAGUGGUACGCGAGCUGGGUUUAGAACGUCGUGAGACAGUUCGGUCCCUAUCUGCCGUGGGCGCUGGAGAAUUGAGGGGGGCUGCUCCUAGUACGAGAGGACCGGAGUGGACGCAUCACUGGUGUUCGGGUUGUCAUGCCAAUGGCACUGCCCGGUAGCUAAAUGCGGAAGAGAUAAGUGCUGAAAGCAUCUAAGCACGAAACUUGCCCCGAGAUGAGUUCUCCCUGAGACUUUAAGUCUCCUGAAGGAACGUUGAAGACGACGACGUUGAUAGGCCGGGUGUGUAAGCGCAGCGAUGCGUUGAGCUAACCGGUACUAAUGAACCGUGAGGCUUAACCUU
This 2900-nucleotide ribosomal RNA is filed under the name Klebsiella pneumoniae. Its description in RNAcentral is "bacterial LSU rRNA". It matches the Rfam family "Bacterial large subunit ribosomal RNA". RNAcentral also lists the same sequence under 1 other name. The record is from RNAcentral. Lineage: Bacteria; Pseudomonadati; Pseudomonadota; Gammaproteobacteria; Enterobacterales; Enterobacteriaceae.